CCUUGGAUAAGGCAUUUUAUUUUGUGAAUUUUGCCAAAAUAAACACCUUUUAUCCUUGGUG
This 61-nucleotide microRNA precursor is filed under the name Sarcophilus harrisii (Tasmanian devil). RNAcentral describes it as "mir-7386 microRNA precursor family". It matches the Rfam family "mir-7386 microRNA precursor family". The record is from Rfam by way of RNAcentral. Lineage: Eukaryota; Metazoa; Chordata; Mammalia; Dasyuromorphia; Dasyuridae.